This 495-nucleotide ribosomal RNA is filed under the name uncultured bacterium. Its description in RNAcentral is "partial 16S ribosomal RNA". It matches the Rfam family "Bacterial small subunit ribosomal RNA", at positions 28 to 507 of the family's 1533-position model. The record is from RNAcentral.
GACGAACGCUGGCGGCGUGCCUAAUACAUGCAAGUAGAACGCUGAAGGAGGAGCUUGCUUCUCUGGAUGAGUUGCGAACGGGUGAGUAACGCGUAGGUAACCUGCCUGGUAGCGGGGGAUAACUAUUGGAAACGAUAGCUAAUACCGCAUAAGAGUAGAUGUUGCAUGACAUUUGCUUAAAAGGUGCAAUUGCAUCACUACCAGAUGGACCUGCGUUGUAUUAGCUAGUUGGUGGGGUAACGGCUCACCAAGGCGACGAUACAUAGCCGACCUGAGAGGGUGAUCGGCCACACUGGGACUGAGACACGGCCCAGACUCCUACGGGAGGCAGCAGGAGGGAAUCUUCGGCAAUGGACGGAAGUCUGACCGAGCAACGCCGCGUGAGUGAAGAAGGUUUUCGGAUCGUAAAGCUCGGUUGUAAGAGAAGAACGAGUGUGAGAGUGGAAAGUUCACACUGUGACGGUAUCUUACCAGAAAGGGACGGCUAACUACGUG